This 566-nucleotide ribosomal RNA is filed under the name uncultured archaeon. RNAcentral describes it as "bacterial SSU rRNA". It matches the Rfam family "Archaeal small subunit ribosomal RNA", at positions 313 to 879 of the family's 1478-position model. The record is from RNAcentral.
GCGAAUUGCCCUUCGGGGUGCAGCAGGCGCGAAAACUUUACAAUGCGGGAAACCGUGAUAAGGGGACACCGAGUGCCAGCAUCAUAUGCUGGCUGUCCAGGUGUGUAAAAUACACCUGUUAGCAAGGGCCGGGCAAGACCGGUGCCAGCCGCCGCGGUAACACCGGCGGCCCGAGUGGUGAUCGUGAUUAUUGGGUCUAAAGGGUCCGUAGCCGGUUUGGUCAGUCCUCCGGGAAAUCUGAUAGCUCAACUAUUAGGCUUUCGGGGGAUACUGCCAGACUUGGAACCGGGAGAGGUAAGAGGUACUACAGGGGUAGGAGUGAAAUCUUGUAAUCCCUGUGGGACCACCUGUGGCGAAGGCGUCUUACCAGAACGGGUUCGACGGUGAGGGACGAAAGCUGGGGGCACGAACCGGAUUAGAUACCCGGGUAGUCCCAGCCGUAAACGAUGCUCGCUAGGUGUCAGACAUGGCGCGACCGUGUCUGGUGCCGCAGGGAAGCCGUGAAGCGAGCCACCUGGGAAGUACGGCCGCAAGGCUGAAACUUAAAGGAAUUGGCGGGGGAGCAC